This 544-nucleotide long non-coding RNA is filed under the name Coturnix japonica (Japanese quail). RNAcentral's name for it is "lncRNA (ENSCJPG00005012313.1)". The record is from RNAcentral. Lineage: Eukaryota; Metazoa; Chordata; Aves; Galliformes; Phasianidae.
GCCUGAUCUGACAGGGGGCAUCACACUGCUCUCUAGGAGAGCUUUGUACGAGCAUGUCUUACGUGAUUAAAACUGCUUACCAGAGAGGUGAAAAGAGUUGUCAGGAAUCUGCAUGUUGCAAGUCUGCACCUUGAAGUGAAAAGUGGGCCUUUGCCCUGGACACUCUGGGCAAACGCCAAAUGUGCUAUAACUAAUGGCCACAAAAAGCCAUGUGGUUUCUUUUCCCUUUCUCACAAGUUCUUUUCUCUGUUAUUUGCUGUUUAAACUCCUUUUUUAAUGUUGGAGUUAUACAUUCUAAUUCUAGUUUUUUCCUUUUUCUUUAACUCAGGACUGGUGUUUGAUACUUCACCAGGUAUCCUCCUGCCCGUGAUAGUCCCUCUGAGAUGUUACUGAAUUACAAGGUCCGAGAAAUCCUGACCACAAGCCAACAGAUCCCUCAGAAGAACAUCAGGGCACAAAAGGACAUGUUCUUCACUGGUUGUUUUCAUCACUUCUCAACAUAUUUACCUAUUUGUAAAAAGUAUAGGCCUCCCUGGAGAACUUG